Molecule: long non-coding RNA, 128 nt
Organism: Homo sapiens (human)
Lineage: Eukaryota; Metazoa; Chordata; Mammalia; Primates; Hominidae
Exons: 3
Source: RefSeq, a predicted model, not a curated record
UCCUUUUGGGUGGAGCCCUUUGAGGAAUCCCCUUGGCCUGCAUCUCAUCAUUUAUGAAAUUUCUAAGUGUGUGUCGAAUGUAAAUAUGAGCCAAGUCCUGUAGAUUCCUGACAGCACAGGGAGGGAGA